AGUGAACGCUGGCGGUAGGCCUAACACAUGCGAGUCGAACGGCCGCACAGUAAGCGCUUGCUCUUACGGGUGGCGAGUGGCGGACGGGUGAGGCAUACAUCGGAAUCUACUUUUUCGUGGGGGAUAACGUAGGGAAACUUACGCUAAUACCGCAUACGACCUACGGGUUAAAGCAGGGGAUCUUCGGACCUUGCGCGAUUGAAUUAGCCGAUGCCGGAUUAGCUAGUUGGCGAGGUAAAGGCCCACCAAGGCGACGAUACGUAGCUGGUCUGAGAGGAUGAUCGGCCACACUGGAACUGAGACACGGUCCAGACUCCUACGGGAGGCAGCAGUGGGGAAUCUUGCGCAAUGGGCGCAAGCCUGACCCAGCCACGCCGCGUGAGUGAAGAAGGUCUUCGGAUUGUAAAGCUCUGUUGUUAGGGAAGAAAAGCAGCAGGUGAAAACCCGGCCGUCCUGACGGUACCCAAAGAGUAAGCACCGGCUAACUUCGUG
This 492-nucleotide ribosomal RNA is filed under the name uncultured bacterium. Its description in RNAcentral is "partial 16S ribosomal RNA". It matches the Rfam family "Bacterial small subunit ribosomal RNA", at positions 29 to 507 of the family's 1533-position model. The record is from RNAcentral.